UACGUAGGGUGCAAGCGUUGUCCGGAUUUAUUGGGCGUAAAGAGCUCGUAGGCGGUCUGUCGCGUCGGAUGUGAAAACCCAGGGCUCAACCCCGGGCUUGCAGUGGAUACGGGCAGGCUAGAGGCAGGCAGGGGAGAACGGAAUUCCCGGUGUAGCGGUGAAAUGCGCAGAUAUCGGGAGGAACACCGGUGGUGAAGGCGGUUCUCUGGGCCUGUACUGACGCUGAGGAGCGAAAGCGUGGGGAGCGAACAGG
RNAcentral lists this ribosomal RNA (253 nucleotides) under uncultured bacterium. RNAcentral describes it as "partial 16S ribosomal RNA". It matches the Rfam family "Bacterial small subunit ribosomal RNA", at positions 524 to 776 of the family's 1533-position model. The record is from RNAcentral.